UGAGGUGUAAUCCUUCUUCUUGA
RNAcentral lists this transfer RNA (23 nucleotides) under Marmosa demerarae (long-furred woolly mouse opossum). Its description in RNAcentral is "Micoureus demerarae (long-furred woolly mouse opossum) partial tRNA-Pro". Lineage: Eukaryota; Metazoa; Chordata; Mammalia; Didelphimorphia; Didelphidae. The record is from RNAcentral.